GACGAACGCUGGCGGCGUGCUUAACACAUGCAAGUCGAACGGAAAGGCCCUGCUUUUGUGGGGUGCUCGAGUGGCGAACGGGUGAGUAACACGUGAGUAACCUGCCCUUGACUUUGGGAUAACUUCAGGAAACUGGGGCUAAUACCGGAUAGGAGCUCCUGCUGCAUGGUGGGGGUUGGAAAGUUUCGGCGGUUGGGGAUGGACUCGCGGCUUAUCAGCUUGUUGGUGGGGUAGUGGCUUACCAAGGCUUUGACGGGUAGCCGGCCUGAGAGGGUGACCGGCCACAUUGGGCCUGAGAUACGGCCCAGACUCCUCCGGGAGGCAGCAGUGGGGAAUAUUGCACAAUGGGCGGAAGCCUGAUGCAGCAACGCCGCGUGCGGGAUGACGGCCUUCGGUUUGUAAACCGCUUUCGCCUGUGACGAAGCGUGAGUGACGGUAAUGGGUAAAGAAGCACCGGCUAACUACGUG
This 468-nucleotide ribosomal RNA is filed under the name uncultured bacterium. Its description in RNAcentral is "partial 16S ribosomal RNA". It matches the Rfam family "Bacterial small subunit ribosomal RNA", at positions 28 to 507 of the family's 1533-position model. The record is from RNAcentral.